UGUGCGUGCCGGUGUAUCGUGGCUUGAGAGUGGACUGAGGAAAUGCAAAGCGUGUAUGUAAUCCGACACGUCUCUUAACUGGGUUAAUCUGUGCGGCGAUCGCCAUUCACGGAGACGCCUGGAGCGUGUUGUGGUGGGCUGACGGACUGCUGUAAUUCCGAUUCAUUCAUUGUGCUGCUGCGGGUUGCGCUGUGUUGCUUCCUCCGCUAUGUGUGUGCGUUGUUCACUUUGGGCUGCGGUCCGUGUGAACCUCGAUUAAGGUAACGAAGUGGUGAUUUCGCUUGCUGGUCUCUCAACGGCCUGUGGUUGUGGACGGCUUCGUUAACCCGUCGUUUUCGGAACAGCCCUCCAUACCUGACUGUCUGUGGUAAAUUCUGUGCCAGUUGGCUAAUGUACUGUUUCAAAGUGUAUUCCUUCCUCCACUAACGUACGAUUCCCUCAACGUCUACUUUGCAGUAACCACUAUGGGGUAUUUGUUUAAAAGUUGAAUUGUGAUUGUUUUUCUUUUCUUUCAUUUGUUUGGUUGUUUAACUGUAUGCAUUCAGCAAAGUUAUUAUAAUUUGUAUUCUUUUGUUGUAAUUUGUUUUUUUUAUUUUAUUUAAUUUGUAUAUGUAUCUUCAUACACACCUGCGGCGCCUGCCGGCUUGCAAGCUGUAUUGACGCUCUUUUUGUCCUCGGUGUGGCGUGUUUUUCUUAGCUUGUUGCAGCCUGCUAAGGGUAAGGUGCAAUGGUGCCUGUCAUACCUGAAUGUAUGCAAGUUGUCUCGUAUUAACUGUGAAACCUGGUCCCAACUGUGAUUAACUGUCUGGCUUGCAAGGGGUAGAUUUCUAGAUCGUUUUUGCAUCCAGCUGUGACGGUUUCGGUUACCGCUUUACAAGUUGACUAAUGGUGUGUGUGUGUGUGUUUUAUGAUUGAAAUUGUGUAUUCUUUUUUUGUUUCUUUGUUUUAGAAUUGGGGCGGCAGACAGCAGAAGUCUUAGGAGUUGUUUCCUCUUACUCUCGGUGGUGGUAUUCUUCACUGAUUGCCGUGCUCCAUUUGAGGUGCAGUGUAUCUGUGCUGUGUGCACGUGUGGUGGAUGUGACUUUGCUGUGUCUUUUUCUCUUCAUUCUAGAUAGGAGAGUUCGGGACUUGUUCCUGAGAGGAGCUGAAUGCCGAUCCCCAAUUUGUAAUUGUGGUGACUGCUCAAUAGACGGGUUGGUGGUGAAUUGGGGCGGCAGACAGCAGAAGUCUUAGGAGUUGUUUCCUCUUACUCUCGGUGGUGGUAUUCUUCACUGAUUGCCGUGCUCCAUUUGAGGUGCAGUGUAUCUGUGCUGUGUGCACGUGUGGUGGAUGUGACUUUGCUGUGUCUUUUUCUCUUCAUUCUAGAUAGGAGAGUUCGGGACUUGUUCCUGAGAGGAGCUGAAUGCCGAUCCCCAAUUUGUGUGCGUGUGGUUGUGAAUUGAAAUUUAUAUUGUUAUUGUGUCUGUGAUGUACUUAGUGCAUCUUUGUUUUAUUGCAAAAUAAAUAAAUUUAUUUUUAUAUACAAGUUGUGUCUCAUACCUGACCCCACCGAACUGAACCUGUGAGCUUUAUUUUGGUUUAGAUCAAUUCCCCUAUAAAUUAACUCGGGGUGGCGUAGUCGGUCUUAUAUGGGCUUCUGAUUUGAUUGCCCUUUCCCAAUUAUUCCUGUUCGCCACA
Molecule: non-coding RNA, 1677 nt
Organism: Paramisgurnus dabryanus
Lineage: Eukaryota; Metazoa; Chordata; Actinopteri; Cypriniformes; Cobitidae
Source: RefSeq, a predicted model, not a curated record